CCGCGCCUCCGGCUGGGGCUCCGAGUCGGGCUUCGAGAGGGACAGCGGAGGCCCUCCGCCGAGGGACGGUCGGCGCCAACCGAGUGAGUGGAGGCUUGGGUCCCAGGCAGCUGGCAGGCCCGCUUUCCAGGCCGCCCUUUCCCACGCUGGGCGCCCCGAGGGCGGGCAGUCACAUCUCCCUGACUCUAGACUCAAGGGUCUCGGGACCCGCUUGUUCCCGCGAGCGCACAGUGUGGCCAUUUUGGCUCGUUACCUCGUGCGCCGCGUGGAGAGGCGCGGGCCCGGCGCAGCCACAGGCGUGGGAGCCUGGGGAGGCGGGCGACCUACCCAAGGGUUGCAUGCGCCUGGGCAACUCGACAACUCCAGGGGUUCAAGGGUUCCUGAGCAAAAGAGAAAAGGAGGUUUGACCAUGAGGCUUGGAGAAGGGAGAAGGGCUGGGGAGUACGGCAAGCAUCAAAUUGGAUAUUUCUCUGGAAACACUGACAGUCUGAAUUCCCUCAAUCUGUGUCUCAAUCCCAAACUGAAAGGACCAUCUUCCUGAG
This 542-nucleotide long non-coding RNA is filed under the name Sus scrofa (pig). RNAcentral's name for it is "lncRNA (ENSSSCG00040014911.1)". Lineage: Eukaryota; Metazoa; Chordata; Mammalia; Artiodactyla; Suidae. The record is from RNAcentral.